AAUAGAUACCCCGGUAGUCCACGCCGUAAACGAUGAGUGCUAAGUGUUAGAGGGUUUCCGCCCUUUAGUGCUGCAGCUAACGCAUUAAGCACUCCGCCUGGGGAGUACGGCCGCAAGGCUGAAACUCAAAGGAAUUGACGGGGGCCCGCACAAGCGGUGGAGCAUGUGGUUUAAUUCGAAGCAACGCAAGAACCUUACCAGGUCUUGACAUCCUCUGCCAACCCUAGAGAUAGGGCGUUCCCCUUCGGGGGACAGAGUGACAGGUGGUGCAUGGUUGUCGUCAGCUCGUGUCGUGAGAUGUUGGGUUAAGUCCCGCAACGAGCGCAACCCUUGAUCCUAGUUGCCAGCAUUCAGUUGGGCACUCUAAGGUGACUGCCGGUGACAAACCGGAGGAAGGUGGGGAUGACGUCAAAUCAUCAUGCCCCUUAUGACCUGGGCUACACACGUGCUACAAUGGAUGGUACAAAGAGCUGCGAACCCGCGAGGGUAAGCGAAUCUCAUAAAGCCAUUCUCAGUUCGGA
This 521-nucleotide ribosomal RNA is filed under the name uncultured bacterium. RNAcentral describes it as "bacterial SSU rRNA". It matches the Rfam family "Bacterial small subunit ribosomal RNA", at positions 777 to 1297 of the family's 1533-position model. The record is from RNAcentral.